UACGGGGGGGAGCAAGCGUUGUUCGGAUUUACUGGGCGUAAAGGGCGCGUAGGCGGCGUGACAAGUCACUUGUGAAAUCUCCGGGCUUAACUCGGAACGGUCAAGUGAUACUGUCGUGCUAGAGUACAGAAGGGGCAACUGGAAUUCUCGGUGUAGCGGUGAAAUGCGUAGAUAUCGAGAGGAACACCUGCGGCGAAGGCGGGUUGCUGGGCUGAUACUGACGCUGAGGCGCGAAAGCUAGGGGAGCAAACGGG
This 254-nucleotide ribosomal RNA is filed under the name uncultured bacterium. RNAcentral's name for it is "partial 16S ribosomal RNA". It matches the Rfam family "Bacterial small subunit ribosomal RNA", at positions 524 to 776 of the family's 1533-position model. The record is from RNAcentral.